UACGUAGGGUGCGAGCGUUAAUCGGAAUUACUGGGCGUAAAGCGUGCGCAGGCGGUUAUUUAAGUCAGGUGUGAAAGCCCUGGGCUUAACCUAGGAAUUGCGCUUGAGACUGGAUAGCUUGGAGUGCGGCAGAGGGAGGUGGAAUUCCACGUGUAGCAGUGAAAUGCGUGGAGAUGUGGAGGAACACCGAUGGCGAAGGCAGCCUCCUGGGCCAGCACUGACGCUCAUGCACGAAAGCGUGGGGAGCAAACAGG
RNAcentral lists this ribosomal RNA (254 nucleotides) under uncultured bacterium. RNAcentral's name for it is "partial 16S ribosomal RNA". It matches the Rfam family "Bacterial small subunit ribosomal RNA", at positions 524 to 776 of the family's 1533-position model. The record is from RNAcentral.